UGGAGGUCGGACGGCCGCCGCCGCCGCCGGCGGCGGCGGCCUCUCUCCAUCGCGCCAUGCCCCACUAACCCGCGCCCCCACCCCACGCCUUCCGUUGCGUUUGCUGGCCAGCCAUUUUUCUCGCGCCGAGUGAGGUCUGACGGCCGGCGGCGGCGCGCUUCGAUCCGAUUUCAUCGGCUGCGGCUGCGGCAACCUCGGGCGUCGAUCCAUUUUCAUCGGGGUGCGGCGGCGGCGGCGGCGUCUCCCUCUCUCCAUCGCGGUUUGAGCCCUCCCAUUUCUUCCUUUGCUGAGUACGCUGCGACCUGCGCCGCCGAUUUUGACGGCGGCGGUGAGGGAGGCGGCCUGUUGAUCGGCUCCGUCAUCCACUGCAACGGCCACAUCCACUGCGGCCUCGACGGCGAGGAGGACGGCUUCGACUGACCCCUGCUUGCCCCGCACCUCCGACUGCGCCCUCUGCAGUAGCACACACGUCAUCCCCAAUCCAUUUUCGUCCAGGGCUGCAUCACUUCCGGGCGACGGCGUUCCAUGGCGGCGACGCAAUCCGGGUUCGUAUCCCCUGCCAUGAUCCCUCAUCCUCAUUCCUCAUGGCUCAAUGUCUAACAGAUCAUAGCCAUAGUAACCACAACCAAACAAGAAAAGAACAAGAUAGAAUUGCGUUUGAAUUAUUUUUCAGUCCAAUUGGAAGUGCCAUCAUCUGUGUAAGUAAUCGUGUAUUACUGAAAAGUCAUACGCACUUGCAUAAUGUGAAAAUUAUUGGGUGUUGUAGUAUUUCUUAGUCCAAUUGGAAGUGCCCCUGUUUCAUUUUUUCAGAGCUCUCCCUCUUUGUAUUUGUCUUGUAUUCAGGAGCAUGUUGUUGCUGUACAAACUAGGUUUAAUUCUUUUUUAAGGGAAUUUAGGUUUAAUUCUUGGUACCAUGAAGAGUUCGAUAAGGUUAAGGAUUAUUUGGGGGGGGGGGCAUCAUAUCAAAAAAGUAUAAACCUGGCUACGGUGGGACUGAUUGCCAGAUGUCAGACAAUAAAACAUAUCACUUUACUAUGGGUUCUGUUCUCCAUCCACUAGUUGUUGUCAACAAAGGUGUGCCAAGGAAAAAUAGCAAAGAUACAGCUAAGAAGACUACAGUCGGACAUAGGAUUAAAUCAUUUCAUGAAACACAGCCAAUUAAGUGUGGUACAUGUGGCAAAGGAGGUCAUAAUAGGAGGAGAUGCCCGUGGAGAGUAAGCAAAUUUGAAUAUCUUUGUAGUAAUUAUGCAGUCUAUUUUUGUGUUGUAGUGGUACUGAUUCUUUUUUUAUUUGUAGGCUCCAUAAACCCCAAGGUAUUAGAUGUCUGUUUGGACUGCAUCGGUUCUCCAGUUUUGUUUUCAUUAGGUACUCAUAUGUUUUCAUUAUGUAUUAACCAGCUAAUCUUUGCUUAUUUAGGUCCCAGGUGAACUUGAUAAACAUAUGGUCCAUUGUGGAGGGAUCUUGUUCUGCAAUCUCUUCUUGUGUUUGUAAUGGCUUCUUCACCUAGCUGUUUGCCUAUUCCAGUGGCCAUUACAAUUUACAAAGCGUUAUGCUGAGUGUCAUUCUUGGUUUUUGGAGUUGACAGAAGCCAUUGCUCAAAAUUUCAAGCUCCUGUGGCAACGCAGUUCAGGAUCUAUUGAUCGCGAGGAGGUGGAGGAGGAGAGCUCUGUAAUGUAGUAGGCGGGUAUCUUUUCUUUGCUGAUUUGUGAGUUCAUAUAAGAAAUUUUGUAAAGUGAUUUUUGUUUGUUUUCCUGAGUCAUAUUUGGGCAAGAAUUUGAGCUGUGAUUUCAUAAAAGAGUUUACUUAUAUACUAGAGAAAUCUGGAAAUCUGGACAGAUAUGGCUCUGAACAUGCAAAUAUCAAUUUGCAGUCUUGCUUGGAUAUUUCUUUCUGCAACUGUUUGUCAACACCUUGUGCAAGACUUCAGCUCAUCCCUGAAAUAGGAUGCUGAACUCGA
This is a long non-coding RNA of Panicum virgatum (switchgrass), 1957 nucleotides long. RefSeq lists it as uncharacterized. The record is from RefSeq and is a predicted model, not a curated record. NCBI's taxonomy places the organism in Eukaryota, Viridiplantae, Streptophyta, Magnoliopsida, Poales, Poaceae. The transcript has 3 exons.